AACGUAGGAGACGAACGUUAUCCGGAGUUACUGGGCGUAAAGGGCUCGUAGGCGGUUUGUCGCGUCGGGAGUGAAAACUCAGGGCUUAACCCUGAGCCUGCUUCCGAUACGGGCAGACUAGAGGUAUGCAGGGGAGAACGGAAUUCCUGGUGUAGCGGUGAAAUGCGCAGAUAUCAGGAGGAACACCGGUGGCGAAGGCGGCAUCCUGGACCGGUAUUGACGCUGAGGCGCGAAAGCUAGGGGAGCAAACGGG
Molecule: ribosomal RNA, 253 nt
Filed under: uncultured bacterium
Lineage: Bacteria
Description: partial 16S ribosomal RNA
Rfam family: Bacterial small subunit ribosomal RNA
Source: RNAcentral